UGAAUGGCUUGACGAGAAAUCAACUGUCUCUUAAUAAUUUUUAAAAUUUAACUUUUAAGUCAAAAGGCUUAAAUUUUUCUUUAGGACGAGAAGACCCUAUAGAGCUUAACAUUUUAUUUUUAUAUAGUUUUUAGUUUAUCUUUCUAUAUUUAAUGAUAAUGUUUUGUUGGGGUGACAUGAAGAAUAAUUAAACUCUUCAUUAUAAAAUCAUUGAUUUAUGUUUAUCAUGAUCCAUAAUUUAUGAUCAUAAGAUUAAGUUACCUUAGGGAUAACAGCGUAAUUGUUUUCGAGAGCUCAUAUCGACAAAGCAGAUUGCGACCUC
Molecule: ribosomal RNA, 322 nt
Filed under: Calliptamus barbarus
Lineage: Eukaryota; Metazoa; Arthropoda; Insecta; Orthoptera; Acrididae
Description: partial 16S ribosomal RNA
Rfam family: Bacterial large subunit ribosomal RNA
Source: RNAcentral